Molecule: long non-coding RNA, 1457 nt
Organism: Triticum dicoccoides
Lineage: Eukaryota; Viridiplantae; Streptophyta; Magnoliopsida; Poales; Poaceae
Exons: 4
Source: RefSeq, a predicted model, not a curated record
AUCUAUCCAUUCGGGCGCCACACAAGUCAAGAAGCUUACAGCCAUGGGCCAUGGCGACGGCGGAGGCGGGGUACGAUGGAUUUGAGUUCUCCAGUUGACAGGAAUUUCUUCUACCAGAUCUUGCCGGUGGCGAUUGCGUACUGGCAGGAGAAACCAACCAAACUCUAGUCUGCACGACCACUGACUCGAGCAUUGGCGAUGUGGGUGAUGCAACGCUGACAGUACAGCUAGAUUUAAACAACACUUGCGAGGGGGUGACCUUGUCCACGCCCAAUUCAGAGCAGUCAACUGGCUAACAUGCUUUUCAGGCGCCCGGCUGGACCAAGAGACAUCUCCAGUAAUGAAAAUGAACACACCACUGGAAUUGCAUGCUAGUGGUGUCUGUCUACACUUGGGCUAUAUUUGAAAAUUUUGGUGAAGUUAUAUAGGAAUCAAUGCACUACAAAGUAGAGGAGAUCAGUAAAGGAAAAAUCCUAUUUUGUGCGGCAAUAUCAUCCAGAGAAACACGGGAAGUGGUGCAGGGUUGUGUAUAAAGUUGAAGUUUUUGAGGAAGGGAAGGAACUGAUAUGCGAGUGUGCUAAUUUUGAGCACACAUGCUUGCUGUGCUGCCAUUCAGUAAAGGUCCUCGUUUUCCUUGGCGUAGAUUGGUCCAAGCAAAACAUAUUUUGAAAUGUUGGAAAAAAGAUGCAAGGGAUGUACUGCCAACCCACUUGUCGCAUCUUUACAAGGAUAACAUUUCUGUGAGCUCAAUAACAUUCAGGCACUGAAAUCUGUACACACAUGCUCUUGAGGUUGUGAGACUGGGGGAUGCAAACACUGAAGCAUAUGAUUGUGCAAUGGAUAUGCUGAAGAGAACAGUGGAAAAAUUGACACCCAUAGCCGCUGUGCAGGAUGGAAUGGGGUUGGAAGACAGAAUUCAGACAAACAGGGGGAAAGAGAAAGAAGUGCUCCCAGCACGGGCAACCGGCAAUGCUUGUGGAAGCGAUGCUGAAGGUAGUGCAAUUGGUGGUUUCGUAGGUCUGAAAGCUCCAGAACGGAAACGAAAGUCUGGUCGACCAACCACAAGCAGGGAUAAGCCUCCAUAUGAUGAUCACGAUCUGCUUUACUGUGGUCUAUUUCGACCUGCAGAAAUGAUCAUGUCCUUUGAACACAGAAGGACUAUUGAUCCUUUUGUGAUUCUUCAUAAGGCUUGUCGGCUCAUUGAUUCUUAAAGAGGUGAUCUUCCUCAAAAAGAAAGGAAAGAGGCAAAAUAUUUAAACUGCGGGGGUCGGUGGUCACAAGGAAGGUUGUGCUGCAUGUUGUUGAAAAUGCUACUUUAGAGGCAAAUGCAAUUUGUGGGUGACUUUGUUUAGUUUCAGUAUUUUUGUUCUGUGGUUGAGGGCUUAAUAGCCGCUAAUUGUAAGACGGUGUUGUUGUGAUAAUAACUAGUACUACAGUUGUGAUUGUGUCUCACUUUG